This 914-nucleotide ribosomal RNA is filed under the name uncultured marine archaeon. Its description in RNAcentral is "bacterial SSU rRNA". It matches the Rfam family "Archaeal small subunit ribosomal RNA", at positions 1 to 922 of the family's 1478-position model. The record is from RNAcentral.
UUCCGGUUGAUCCUGCCGGACCUGACUGCUAUCGGAUUGAUACUAAGCCAUGCGAGUCUUUGCAGUAAUGCAAGGCAUACGGCUCAGUAACACGUAGUCAACUUACCCUAUGGACGAGGAUAAUCUCGGGAAACUGAGCAUAAUACUCGAUAGAUCAUAAUGCCUGGAAUGGUUUAUGGUUGAAAUGAUUCGUCGCCAUAGGAUGGGACUGCGGCCUAUCAGCUUGUUGGUGAGGUAAUGGCCCACCAAGGCGAUUACAGGUACGGGCUCUGAGAGGAGAAGCCCGGAGAUGGGUACUGAGACAAGGACCCAGGCCCUAUGGGGCGCAGCAGGCGAGAAAACUUUGCAAUGUGCGAAAGCACGACAAGGUUAAUCCGAGUGAUUUCUGCUAAAGAAAUCUUUUGCAAGUCAUAAAACCACUAGUGAAUAAGGGGUGGGCAAGUUCUGGUGUCAGCCGCCGCGGUAAAACCAGCACCUCAAGUGGUCAGGAGGAUUAUUGGGCCUAAAGCAUCCGUAGCCGGCUCUGUAAGUUUUCGGUUAAAUCCAUGUGCUCAACAUAUGGGCUGCCGAAAAUACUGCAUAGCUAGGGAGUGGGAGAGGUAGACGGUACUCGGUAGGAAGGGGUAAAAUCCUUUGAUCUAUCGAUGACCACCUGUGGCGAAGGCGGUCUACCAGAACACGUUCGACGGUGAGGGAUGAAAGCUGGGGGAGCAAACCGGAUUAGAUACCCGGGUAGUCCCAGCUGUAAACGAUGCAGACUCGAUGAUGCAUUGGCAUAUAGCCAGUGCAGUGUCGCAGGGAAGCCGUUAAGUCUGCCGCCUGGGAAGUACGUACGCAAGUAUGAAACUUAAAGGAAUUGGCGGGGGAGCACCACAAGGGGUGAAGCCUGCGGUUCAAUUGGAGUCAACGCCGGG